This 328-nucleotide unclassified non-coding RNA is filed under the name soil metagenome. RNAcentral describes it as "partial contains 5.8S ribosomal RNA, internal transcribed spacer 2, and large subunit ribosomal RNA". The stretch from base 1 to 120 matches the Rfam family "5.8S ribosomal RNA", at positions 35 to 154 of the family's 154-position model. The record is from RNAcentral.
GAUGAAGAACGCAGCGAAAUGCGAUAAGUAAUGUGAAUUGCAGAAUUCAGUGAAUCAUCGAAUCUUUGAACGCACAUUGCGCCCAUUGGUAUUCCGAGGGGCAUGCCUGUUCGAGCGUCAUUAUAACCCCUCAAGCUCAGCUUGGUGUUGGGGCCUGCCGCACGGGCAGCCCUUAAAAUCAGUGGCGGUGCCAUCUGGCUCUAAGCGUAGUAAUUCUUCUCGCUAUAGAGUCCCGGUGGAUGCUUGCCAUUAACCCCCAAUUUUCUAUGGUUGACCUCGGAUCAGGUAGGGAUACCCGCUGAACUUAAGCAUAUCAAUAAGCGGAGGA